UAGGCNUGAGGUACUGGAAGGUCCUCAGGCCGAAAGGGGCUCUGCCCGCCCGAGGAUGGGCCGGCGGCCGAUUAGGUAGUUGGUGGGGUAACGGCCCACCAAGCCGAAGAUCGGUACGGGCCAUGAGAGUGGGAGCCCGGAGAUGGACACUGAGACACGGGUCCAGGCCCUACGGGGCGCAGCAGGCGCGAAACCUCCGCAAUGCGGGCAACCGCGACGGGGGGACCCCCAGUGCCGUGGCAACGCCACGGCUUUUCCGGAGUGUAAAAAGCUCCGGGAAUAAGGGCUGGGCAAGGCCGGUGGCAGCCGCCGCGGUAAUACCGGCGGCCCGAGUGGUGGCCGCUAUUAUUGGGCCUAAAGCGUCCGUAGCCGGGCCCGUAAGUCCCUGGCGAAAUCCCACGGCUCAACCGUGGGGCUUGCUGGGGAUACUGCGGGCCUUGGGACCGGGAGAGGCCGGGGGUACCCCUGGGGUAGGGGUGAAAUCCUAUAAUCCCAGGGGGACCGCCAGUGGCGAAGGCGCCCGGCUGGAACGGGUCCGACGGUGAGGGACGAAGGCCAGGGGGGCGAACCGGAUUAGAUACCCGGGUAGUCCUGGCUGUAAAGGAUGCGGGCUAGGUGUCGGGCGAGCUUCGAGCUCGCCCGGUGCCGAAGGG
Molecule: ribosomal RNA, 653 nt
Filed under: uncultured archaeon
Lineage: Archaea
Description: bacterial SSU rRNA
Rfam family: Archaeal small subunit ribosomal RNA
Source: RNAcentral